CCUACGGGAGGCAGCAGUGGGGAAUAUUGGACAAUGGGCGAAAGCCUGAUCCAGCAAUGCCGCGUGAGUGAUGAAGGCCUUAGGGUUGUAAAGCUCUUUUACCAGGGAUGAUAAUGACAGUACCUGGAGAAUAAGCUCCGGCUAACUCCGUGCCAGCAGCCGCGGUAAUACGGAGGGAGCUAGCGUUGUUCGGAAUUACUGGGCGUAAAGAGUACGUAGGCGGUUAUUCAAGUCAGAGGUGAAAGCCCGGGGCUCAACCCCGGAACUGCCUUUGAAACUAGAUAGCUAGAGUCUUGGAGAGGUUAGUGGAAUUCCGAGUGUAGAGGUGAAAUUCGUAGAUAUUCGGAAGAACACCAGUGGCGAAGGCGACUAACUGGACAAGUACUGACGCUGAGGUACGAAAGCGUGGGGAGCAAACAGGAUUAGAUACCCUGGUAGUCCACGCCGUAAACGAUGAUAACUAGUUGUUCGGGCACUUGGUGCCUGAGUGACGCAGCUAACGCAUUAAGUUAUCCGCCUGGGGAGUACGGUCGCAAGNUUAAAACUCAAAGGAAUUGACGG
RNAcentral lists this ribosomal RNA (561 nucleotides) under uncultured bacterium. RNAcentral's name for it is "bacterial SSU rRNA". It matches the Rfam family "Bacterial small subunit ribosomal RNA", at positions 338 to 916 of the family's 1533-position model. The record is from RNAcentral.